AAUUUCUUGUAUUUGAGGGGUGUUUGACCCCCAAGCUAUCAUCUAAGAGCACACAACUUGUGAUGUGUGGGUUACUCGCAUGUCACAAGAUCACAUCUUGAUACAGACAAAAGCCUAGUGUUUAAGUAGAGAAUGGUAGAGGGACGGGCAUGUUAUCCGUCGUAUUUGGAUCUAUAUUCCAUUUGACCUAGUUUCUCUGUUAUCCAUCGUAUUUGGAUCUAUACUCCACUCCUAGUCACUAAGAAGUGUUAUCCUGUCCUCCGGGGGACUGAACUCUACCAAUAGGUUCUUUCUCUCAGGUAAUUUACGCCCAAAGGUGAACCUUAGGAUUUGUACUAACGGAAAAGUUUGCUAACUGGAAGGCAAUAGAAUCAGCCGAUAGGCACAGGCAAGGCGAAUCAUUUAGAUAAGCUACCAAUUAAGGGGUCAGUGGAAAUUCUGAAUAUUUUGAUUUAUGCAUUUUCAUGUCUAGAUUUUGUUCCAAAAAUGUUACUGAUGAUUAUCUAACUAAUCUAUACAAAUGCUCUUUUCUUUGGUAAGAUCCACAGCUCAUCAACAUAUGCACCAGGCCAGGAAUUUCUUGAAAAUAACAUCAGAGUAAAACCAGAUUUAGAUGCCCUCGGGGCAUUGGGAGAUGCAGGCUGGUUCUGCAUUGGCUCGAUAUUGUGGGCUAUGAACCAAACUUUGUUAAUGACUGUGACUGUACUGCCUAAUGUUGCAAGAAACUCAGCUGGAGUUAUCUUAACAUGUAGUGCCUCCUUGUAUUGGGAAAAAGAGGAAACCGUUGCUACAUUUUACUGCUCUUUCAUUGCACACGAGACAAUGAACUUGCGAGUUUAUGGCUCUAAUGGGACAUGUUAUCUCUAUGACUUCAUUAUCCCGUUCGAAGAGGACUCUGCUUCGUUCAAUUUCACAUCUAGUGCUAAGUUUGUGGAUCUUCAUAUCGGAUGGAAUGUGAAACCUCAAGUAGUUGAAGUAACUUCUCAGUUACCACAAGAGGGUUAUAUGAUUCAAGAAUUUGCUGACCUGGUUAAGGCCAUUAAAGUUUCGAGAAGCAAACCUGAGAUCAAAUAGCCUCAUACUAGUAGAAUCACUCAGCUCGUGCUCGAUGCUGUGAACAAAUCUAUGGACACGGGUUUCCAGCCAGUUCAUAUGUAAAUGCUAAUGCUCAUUUAUGAUUCUUUAUUUAACGUUAAGAAAAAAAAGUAUCUAAAAAAUAACACAUUAUAUACCAUGUGUAAGAGAGUUUAUGUAUGGACCUUUAACUUGAUCAAGAUGAUUUGUUGAGCUUGUACAUCAUCUAAUAGCUUCUUAGUUCCUUAUCUUUUAUCAUUGUCUUUUACUCAUAUGCUAUCUCACAUAUCAAUGUAUAUAACUUAAAUCCACGUUUAUGUACUUCCCAAGUAUGUAAAUUAAGCACACCGAUCUGAGUAUAUAAUUUGAAUUUUGUCCAUAUAGAUACUUCAACUCCUGGGAUUUGAAUAGUGAAGUACCAUAUAUGUAUCAUUUUAAGGCAUCAAAGACACUAUUUUGAAACAAGAAAAGAAGAUUUUGAGCGUAAACUCUCAUCUCUAGAUAUUGUCAUUAUAUAUAUAAACUCUAAGCCAUGAAUACAAAGCUUUAGUAAGAAAGGAGUCUGGUAAUAGUGACAACAACAAAAAUACCAACACCCUUCUAACUCAGAAACAAAUCAAUUACACAAAAGACACUCAAUUCCCCUUCAUUUUUAUUUAUCACUAAUUGCAUUUACGCAAGUAGUGUCAUAUUCAAUAUGCAUCAACAUAAGAUUGAACAAUCAAAUCCACAAAAAGACACUUGCACGAAUGAAUCAAUUAACAAUGAGCUACACAAUUGCUAUUAACAAAAAAGUCAUACAUUUGAGAUAUGCAGUAGGAUAGAAAGUAGUAAUGUCAAAUUAUGUUUGUCCCUCCUUCAACUUCGUAAGCUGUUUUCUGAGUUGCUCAUGGAAAUGUUCGGUUAUAGCAAUUCUCGUGUCAAGGGUCCGAAGAGUGUUCUCGGACUUUUGUACCGCUGAAUCAACAGAUGCUUUGGUUCAAUUAGGCGUUGCAGAUACAUCCCACAGCUUAUCAUCAUCAUCAGUCUAAAUAGAAAAAAAUCUUUAAAUAAAAUAGAAAAAGUUUGAACAGGAACGGUUAUUUGAUUAAAGAAUUUAAAUCGAGAUAGAUGUUACCCUCUUGUUCAGGUAUAACAAAAAUUUUUUAACUGUAGGCUUAACAGCGGUAGGAUCCAAGUAGAAGCAACAUUGUGUCACGGACUUAGAAUAUUUGCUAAGACUCCGUGCGGCACUCGACAACUUACUCACGAAUCUUUCACGAUCUUAUAAGCUCAAGUAAUCCUUUAAGACUCGGAACGCUAAGAGAAUGUAAAGAAAGACUUAGAAAGAACUUUGAAAGAGGGCUUGUAUUAAGCUUGGAAGCUUUUCUUACAACUCUUGGUUGGAUUGUUGGAUGAAUGAUUUACAAAUGAGAGGCCCUCCUAUUUAUACUACAUCCUAAGGGCCUAAGUGUAAAUAAAAUUUACUCUAUAAGUCCUUCUAAUAACUACACUAUAGUCUAUAUUCUAGAGAAUUCUACAUUUUCUAGAAUAUGCUAAUCUCUUCCAAAAAGAUCUAAUUAAGGAAUUCUCUAGUCUUCUCCACAAAACUAGAAGGUUCUAGAGUUCUCUGCAAACCUCUUCAAGACUCUAGAUCCUUCCACCCCUAUUCGGACGUCAAAUCAGGUUGGAAUUGUGGCGGGACAUCACAAUUGACAUCUGAAGUAGUAAGAUUAACAACUGAACUUGUAUCAGCCGUCAUAGCUGCAGCUAUGAUUCUGUUUGCAUCCAAAAAAAAAUUAACUCUAGGCUUAAUAGCGGUAGGAUCCACUUGGGAAAUAGAAGUAGAAGCAGCAUUGGCAGCUGUAGUAGUAAGAUUAACAACUGAACUUGUAUCAGCCGUCAUAACUGCAGCCAUGAUUCUGUCUGCAUCAUUUUCUUGCGAAUCCAAAAUGGCAAGAUCUGAAUAUUUUAUCCAAAACUCUCUCUUUUCUUUUUCACCAGCCUCAUCAUUUGUCACUUCUUUUGCUUUUCCUUUCCCCUGAUCUUGACAAAUAUACUUCCCAUUUCCUUUAUCAACGGAAACCUCAUUUCCAAUGGGAGUUAUCUCAAAAUCCUUUUUCCAUAGUUCCUGCAAUUUAUUUGCAAUAUUUAUUUGCUGAACGUUACGUCAAAACUCCUUACGAAGGGCACCGUAAUUACCAUCGUGUGAUAACAACAGUAUUUCAAGUUGCUCUAAAUUCUGCGUGGCACCCUCCAAUGAUCAGCAAUUACAAUUAUCUCUUUUUACCUAUUUAUUUUUAUUAUUUAUUUCUACUUCAAAUUUAUACGCUUUAAAAAACUGAAAAUGUUUAAAAGCAUUACCCAAUUAAUAACAUUUAAGUGAAUGGAAGAUGAAGAGAUCAAAAACUUUUUAUAUAAAAUAGAAAUAUUUGAUAUCCACAAGCAACAACAAUAGACUCUUUUCCUCUUCUUCUUCACAUCAAUCAAUUUUUGAAUAUCAUGUUUUUAUAAAACAAAAAAAGGUCAUGCAACAAGUGUACCUACACAAAAUAAAAGACUUUUUUUUGCAAGGAUGUUGCACUAUAAUUUUUCCUACAAAAAGAUAUUUAUUGAAAAAAAUAUUUAUUUGAUUGAAAAAUUCAAGCGUACCUCUUCAAAAUACAAGACUUUGUGAAAGAAUGUUUCACUGUAAUUUUUUCUACAAAGAGAUAUUCACUGGGAAAAAAUUUCAUGUGAUUGAGAUUUUUACAAGGGUGAAACGUGUUCAAAGGGCAAGAAGAAUAUUUAGAAAAAGAAUCCAUUUAUUUAUGGAAUUCAUAUCAAAUUAAGAGGAGAAUAAAAAUGAAUUAUUUUGGAGAAAUAAUUGAUAUAUUUAUGAAAUUCAAAUCAAAUUAUGAAGAGGGUAAGAAAAAAUGUGUUUUCUAUUGGCUCCAAAAUUCCUUUUCAUCCAUAUAUUGGCUCCAAAUUUAACUCUUUAAAUAUUUUUUAAAAUACUUAGCGUUCAACUAUUGAUUAUAAUUUAAUUUAUUAAUAUAAUUUAUGAACAAACUCACUACCUACUCAUUACUAACUAAACCUCACCCAAUUGAUAAUCCAAUUAUAAUAUCAAAAUCGCUAUAAAGACUACUAAAAUACGAUGAAAUUAUAGAUUCCUAAAAAUUACAUCCAAAAUUAUUCGAAUUCGAUUCGAAACCCCAAUUAAAUUUAGAUUGAGCCACUUAUUUAGGAGAAGACUUUCAAUAGGAUUCUCUUUCAAGAUUGAAUUAGAAAUUUUAUGAUAAAAGGUAAAGAAGUAAUACAUCCCGAAUUAAUUCAUGCACUUUCAAAAAAUAUAAUUUUAUAAAUAUUUAUGAUUUGUUUUAAAACUUUUAAUAUAUUAUUUUGAAAAAGAGUUACCUAUGUAACAUCACAUAAUUGAGACUUAAGAAUGAUUAAGAUGAACAUAGUCAAACUUUUAAGUUAAAAAUAUCGAUAAACUUAAAAUUUCAGUCGAAAUUUGAGUUCGAAAUCUAGACCUAGAGAUUGACUAAUUCAUAUUCAUCUUAUAAUCGGAGUUUGAAAUUGAGACCUUGAUUAAAAGAUUGACUAAUUCAUAUUCAUCAUUCGAAAAAUGCAUUUUCUAUCAAAAGAUCUUUUUAUAGUUAAAUUAGAAAUCGAAUUAAGGAGCCGUCAAGUUUUGUGGCUAUACCAUAUGCCACCUAAUAUUUUCUCACCAAUAUCUAUCCCCACUAUAAUCAAGAUUCAUCAGAAGAAAAAAAAACAAAAUCAACAAUGUCAAAUGAUGAAACUCCAAUUCGUUUUGGCAUCAUAGGAUGUGCAGAAAUUGCAAGAAAAAUCUCAAGAGCUAUUAAUUUAUCCCCAAAUUGUACUCUUUAUGCCCUAGCAAGUCGUUCAAUUGAAAAAGCUCACAACUUUGCAAUCAAGAACAAUUUAUUUUCUGAUUCUUUGAAGAUUUAUGGAAAUUAUAGUGAAAUUCUUGAUGACCCUUUUGUUGAUGCUGUGUAUAUGCCAUUACCCACUACUUUUCAUCUUCAGUGGGCAAUUUUAGCCGCUGAAAAGAAGAAACAUUUGUUGUUGGAAAAACCUACUGCUUUGAAUGUUGAAGAAUUGGAUAAGAUUCUUGAUGCUUGUGACAAAAAUGGGGUUCAGUUUAUGGAUGCUAGUAUGUGGUAUCAUCAUCCAAGAACUGGGAAAAUGAAGGAGAUGAUUCUUGAUUCUAACCUAUUUGGACAAGUUAAAGCUGUAAGUUUUAGAGGGUGUUUUUUUAAAUGGCAUAUCUAGACACCUCAACUUGGUCUCAAACACUCCAACUUGUCCCUAUGGAUAUCUGAUGUGGACGUGACACGUAAAGUUGGAGUGUUGAACUGAUGUAGUGGAGACGAGUUGAGGUUUUUAGACGUGGACUAUCGUAGUUGGAUUGUUCAGUUACUUGGUCUCAACUAGCAAUUAAAAUACUCCAACUUGUCCUUACGGUGUCUCGUGGACACCUAACACUGACUUGACUCAUUAAGAUGGAGUGUUCAACUGAUGCAGUGAGACGAGUUGAGGUGUCUAACAUGUGGAGUCUCAAAGUUGAGUCUUUAGUUGCUAGUUUGAAUGAACCUAUUUUAAUUAUAGUACGAUGUUCAAAUUUACAAUUCAGAUAUAUCUCAGUUUUAACUCCGUUAUACUUUAGGAUAAUUUAUGUCCAUACUAUUAGGAAUUUUUCCCGCAUUUGAGGCAUUUGGCAUUACCCUCGAGCUUUGUUCUAGUGGUAAGAGGUCAUCUUGUAUCGUUAGAAAGCUUUCUCAUAUUUGGGUUAUUUGGACCCUGAGCUUUGGUGUAAUGGUAAGAGCUCAGCUUGUACAGUUAGCAAAUUGUCUUGUAUUUGGGGUAUUUGGACCCCGAUCUUUGGUGUAGUUAUAACUAGUAAGAGCUCAGCUUGUACGGUUAGCAAAUUGUCUCAUAUUUGGGGUAGCAAAUUUUCUUGUAUUUGGGGGGUGUUUGACCCCCAAGCUAUCAUCUAAGAGCACACAACUUGUGAUGUGUGGGUUACUCGCAUGUCACAAGAUCACACCUUGAUACAGACAAAAGCCUAGUGUUUUAGAGAAUGGUAGAGGGACGGGCAUGUUAUCCGUCGUAUUUGGAUCUAUAUUCCAUUUGACCUAGUUUCUCUGUUAUCCAUCGUAUUUGGAUCUAUACUCCACUCCUAGUCACUAAGAAGUGUUAUUCUGUCCUCCGGGGGACUGAACUUUACCAAUAGGUUCUUUCUCUCAGGCAAUUUAUGCCCAAAGGUGAACCUUAGGAUUUGUACUAACGGAAAAGUUUGCUAACUGGAAGGCAAUAGAAUCAGCCGAUAGGCACAGGCAAGGCAAAUCACUUAGAUUAGCCACCAUCUUAUUCUAGGAUUCACCAAUUAAGGGGUCAGUGGCAAUUCUGAAUAUUUUGAUUUAUGCAUUUUCAUGUCUAGAUUUUGUUCCAAAAAUGUUACUGAUGAUUAUCUAACUAAUCUAUACAAAUGCUCUUUUCUUUGGUAAGAUCC
RNAcentral lists this long non-coding RNA (6577 nucleotides) under Solanum lycopersicum (tomato). RNAcentral's name for it is "long non-coding RNA (SLYC_LNC000877)". The record is from RNAcentral. Lineage: Eukaryota; Viridiplantae; Streptophyta; Magnoliopsida; Solanales; Solanaceae.